Molecule: small RNA, 27 nt
Filed under: Bombyx mori (domestic silkworm)
Lineage: Eukaryota; Metazoa; Arthropoda; Insecta; Lepidoptera; Bombycidae
Description: ovarian small RNA-10300
Source: RNAcentral
AACCAUUGUUCGCAGCUCGGCCAUGUC